ACUAACAAGGAUUCCCCUAGUAACUGCGAGUGAAGCGGGAAAAGCUCAAAUUUAAAAUCUGGUGGCCUCUGGUCGCCCGAGUUGUAAUUUAGAGAAGCGUCUUCCGCGCUGGACCGUGCACAAGUCUCCUGGAAUGGAGCGUCAUAGAGGGUGAGAAUCCCGUCUUUGGCACGGACGCACCAGGGCUUUCGUGAUGCGCUCUCGAAGAGUCGAGUUGUUUGGGAAUGCAGCUCAAAAUGGGUGGUGAACUCCAUCUAAAGCUAAAUAUUGGCGAGAGACCGAUAGCGAACAAGUACCGUGAGGGAAAGAUGAAAAGCACUUUGGAAAGAGAGUGAAACAGUACGUGAAAUUGUUGAAAGGGAAACGCUUGAAGUCAGUCGCGUCGACCGAGACUCAGCCUCGCCUUGGCUUGGCGCGCUUCUCGGCUGACGGGUCAGCGUCGAUUUUGCCCCUCGGAUAAUGGCAAGGGAAAGGUAGCACCUUUACGGGUGUGUUAUAGUCUCCUGUCGCAUGCGAGGGUCGGGAUCGAGGAACUCAGCACGCGCCUCUCGGCGUCGGGGCUUCGGCCCACGCUACGUGCUUAGGAUGCUGGCGUAAUGGCUUUAAACGACCCGUCUUGAAACACGGACCAAGGAGUCUAACAUGCCCGCGAGUGUUCGGGUGGAAAACCCGUGCGCGUAAUGAAAGUGAAAGUUGGGACCUCUGUCGUGGGGGGC
Molecule: ribosomal RNA, 716 nt
Filed under: Russula subnigricans
Lineage: Eukaryota; Fungi; Basidiomycota; Agaricomycetes; Russulales; Russulaceae
Description: eukaryotic LSU rRNA
Rfam family: Eukaryotic large subunit ribosomal RNA
Source: RNAcentral